Elaeis guineensis (African oil palm) is the source of this 389-nucleotide non-coding RNA. The record is from RefSeq and is a predicted model, not a curated record. Lineage: Eukaryota; Viridiplantae; Streptophyta; Magnoliopsida; Arecales; Arecaceae.
UGCCGUUCCGACCGGCGGUUGGGCCGUCAUCCGAUUCACUGCUAAUAAUCCAGGUGUGUGGCUCAUGCACUGCCACUUUGACUCCCACUUGCUGCUGGGGUUGGCGACGGCUUUCGAGGUGGACAAUGGACCCACCGCUGAAUCCACCCUCCCCCCACCACCUCCAGAUUACCCCACUUGUCAGAUUCAGCUGAGGUCGGUUGCGGACAACUGGAAACUAAAUAAGAUAGAAUAGGCGAAAGGCAAACGUCUCACACAAGUUUUUAUUCUAUUAUUUUGUUGAAGAAUCCCAAGGGAUCUGUGCUUUCUACCUACUAAGUGUGUAAGAUAAUAAACAGUCCAUUAUUUGAAAUAAAUAUUAAAUCAUUGGACUCGCAAUUAUAAGCAAA